This 463-nucleotide ribosomal RNA is filed under the name uncultured bacterium. RNAcentral describes it as "bacterial SSU rRNA". It matches the Rfam family "Bacterial small subunit ribosomal RNA", at positions 342 to 797 of the family's 1533-position model. The record is from RNAcentral.
UAGGAGGCAGCAGUGGGGAAUAUUGCACAAUGGGCGCAAGCCUGAUGCAGCCAUGCCGCGUGUAUGAAGAAGGCCUUCGGGUUGUAAAGUACUUUCAGCGGGGAGGAAGGGAGUAAAGUUAAUACCUUUGCUCAUUGACGUUACCCGCAGAAGAAGCACCGGCUAACUCCGUGCCAGCAGCCGCGGUAAUACGGAGGGUGCAAGCGUUAAUCGGAAUUACUGGGCGUAAAGCGCACGCAGGCGGUUUGUUAAGUCAGAUGUGAAAUCCCCGGGCUCAACCUGGGAACUGCAUCUGAUACUGGCAAGCUUGAGUCUCGUAGAGGGGGGUAGAAUUCCAGGUGUAGCGGUGAAAUGCGUAGAGAUCUGGAGGAAUACCGGUGGCGAAGGCGGCCCCCUGGACGAAGACUGACGCUCAGGUGCGAAAGCGUGGGGAGCAAACAGGAUUAGAUACCCGUGUAGUCCG